AUGAUUUUAUAAAGCAAACCAAGCUUUUUUUAAAAAGUAAGGUUUUGCGAAAUGUAUUUAAAACCCCCACUCUUUUAAAAAUAAAUUUUUUCGUUCAUGAUUAUGAAAUAAAAAAAGAA
Molecule: unclassified non-coding RNA, 119 nt
Filed under: uncultured Glomeromycotina
Lineage: Eukaryota; Fungi; Glomeromycota
Description: sequence contains ITS1
Source: RNAcentral